This 527-nucleotide ribosomal RNA is filed under the name Escherichia coli. Its description in RNAcentral is "partial 23S ribosomal RNA". It matches the Rfam family "Bacterial large subunit ribosomal RNA", at positions 335 to 867 of the family's 2925-position model. The record is from RNAcentral. Lineage: Bacteria; Pseudomonadati; Pseudomonadota; Gammaproteobacteria; Enterobacterales; Enterobacteriaceae.
GAAGCGUCUGGAAAGGCGCGCGAUACAGGGUGACAGCCCCGUACACAAAAAUGCACAUACUGUGAGCUCGAUGAGUAGGGCGGGACACGUGGUAUCCUGUCUGAAUAUGGGGGGACCAUCCUCCAAGGCUAAAUACUCCUGACUGACCGAUAGUGAACCAGUACCGUGAGGGAAAGGCGAAAAGAACCCCGGCGAGGGGAGUGAAAAAGAACCUGAAACCGUGUACGUACAAGCAGUGGGAGCACGCUUCGGCGUGUGACUGCGUACCUUUUGUAUAAUGGGUCAGCGACUUAUAUUCUGUAGCAAGGUUAACCGAAUAGGGGAGCCGAAGGGAAACCGAGUCUUAACUGGGCGUUAAGUUGCAGGGUAUAGACCCGAAACCCGGUGAUCUAGCCAUGGGCAGGUUGAAGGUUGGGUAACACUAACUGGAGGACCGAACCGACUAAUGUUGAAAAAUUAGCGGAUGACUUGUGGCUGGGGGUGAAAGGCCAAUCAAACCGGGAGAUAGCUGGUUCUCCCCGAAAGCU